RNAcentral lists this transfer RNA (72 nucleotides) under Candidatus Omnitrophota bacterium. Its description in RNAcentral is "tRNA-Phe". It matches the Rfam family "tRNA". Rfam says of the family: Transfer RNA (tRNA) molecules are approximately 80 nucleotides in length. Their secondary structure includes four short double-helical elements and three loops (D, anti-codon, and T loops). The record is from RNAcentral. Lineage: Bacteria; Pseudomonadati; Candidatus Omnitrophota.
GCCGAGGUAGCUCAGUGGUAGAGCGCUGCCCUGAAAAGGCAGGCGUGGUCAGUUCGAUUCUGACCCUCGGCA